This 427-nucleotide ribosomal RNA is filed under the name uncultured ANME-2 cluster archaeon. Its description in RNAcentral is "bacterial SSU rRNA". It matches the Rfam family "Archaeal small subunit ribosomal RNA", at positions 147 to 575 of the family's 1478-position model. Lineage: Archaea; Methanobacteriati; Methanobacteriota; Methanomicrobia; Methanosarcinales. The record is from RNAcentral.
UAAUACCGGAUAGAUCAAAGAAACUGGAAUGUUCUUUGUUCGAAAGCUCCGGCGCCCAAGAAUGAGUCUGCGGCCUAUCAGGUAGUAGUGGGUGUAACCCACCUAACUAGCCUACGACGAGUAAGGGUUUUGAGAGCAAGAGUCCUGAGAUGGAUUCUGAGACAUGAAUCUAGGCCCUAAGGGGUGCAGCAGGCGCGAGAACUUUACACUGCGGAAACCCGAGAUAUGGGACCCAGAGUGCCAGCACCUAGUGCUGGCUGUCCAGCUGUUCAUAAAACAGUUAUUAGCAAGGGCCGGGCAAGACCGGUGCCUGCCGCCGCGGUAACACCGGCGGCUCCAGUGGUAGCCGUUAGUAUUGGGUUUUAAGGGUCCGUAGCCGCCCUUUUAAAUCUCUUGGGAAAUCUGGCGACUCAAUCGUCAGGCGUUC